UGCCAGCCGCCGCGGUAAUAAGAACCGUCCAAACGUUAUUCGGAAUCACUGGGCUUAAAGCGUGCGUAGGCGGCUUAGCAAGUUGGGUGUGAAAUCCCUCGGCUCAACCGAGGAACUGCGCUCAAAACUACUAGGCUUGAGGGAGGCAGAGGUAAGCGGAACUAAUGGUGGAGCGGUGAAAUGCGUUGAUAUCAUUAGGAACACCUGAGGCGAAAGCAGCUUACUGGGCCUCUUCUGACGCUGAGGCGCGAAAGCUAGGGGAGCGAACGGGAUUAGAUA
This 279-nucleotide ribosomal RNA is filed under the name uncultured bacterium. RNAcentral describes it as "partial 16S ribosomal RNA". It matches the Rfam family "Bacterial small subunit ribosomal RNA", at positions 506 to 784 of the family's 1533-position model. The record is from RNAcentral.